This 2901-nucleotide ribosomal RNA is filed under the name Escherichia coli KTE142. RNAcentral's name for it is "bacterial LSU rRNA". It matches the Rfam family "Bacterial large subunit ribosomal RNA". Lineage: Bacteria; Pseudomonadati; Pseudomonadota; Gammaproteobacteria; Enterobacterales; Enterobacteriaceae. The record is from RNAcentral.
UUAAGCGACUAAGCGUACACGGUGGAUGCCCUGGCAGUCAGAGGCGAUGAAGGACGUGCUAAUCUGCGAUAAGCGUCGGUAAGGUGAUAUGAACCGUUAUAACCGGCGAUUUCCGAAUGGGGAAACCCAGUGUGAUUCGUCACACUAUCAUUAACUGAAUCCAUAGGUUAAUGAGGCGAACCGGGGGAACUGAAACAUCUAAGUACCCCGAGGAAAAGAAAUCAACCGAGAUUCCCCCAGUAGCGGCGAGCGAACGGGGAGCAGCCCAGAGCCUGAAUCAGUGUGUGUGUUAGUGGAAGCGUCUGGAAAGGCGCGCGAUACAGGGUGACAGCCCCGUACACAAAAAUGCACAUGUUGUGAGCUCGAUGAGUAGGGCGGGACACGUGGUAUCCUGUCUGAAUAUGGGGGGACCAUCCUCCAAGGCUAAAUACUCCUGACUGACCGAUAGUGAACCAGUACCGUGAGGGAAAGGCGAAAAGAACCCCGGCGAGGGGAGUGAAAAAGAACCUGAAACCGUGUACGUACAAGCAGUGGGAGCACGCUUAGGCGUGUGACUGCGUACCUUUUGUAUAAUGGGUCAGCGACUUAUAUUCUGUAGCAAGGUUAACCGAAUAGGGGAGCCGAAGGGAAACCGAGUCUUAACUGGGCGUUAAGUUGCAGGGUAUAGACCCGAAACCCGGUGAUCUAGCCAUGGGCAGGUUGAAGGUUGGGUAACACUAACUGGAGGACCGAACCGACUAAUGUUGAAAAAUUAGCGGAUGACUUGUGGCUGGGGGUGAAAGGCCAAUCAAACCGGGAGAUAGCUGGUUCUCCCCGAAAGCUAUUUAGGUAGCGCCUCGUGAAUUCAUCUCCGGGGGUAGAGCACUGUUUCGGCAAGGGGGUCAUCCCGACUUACCAACCCGAUGCAAACUGCGAAUACCGGAGAAUGUUAUCACGGGAGACACACGGCGGGUGCUAACGUCCGUCGUGAAGAGGGAAACAACCCAGACCGCCAGCUAAGGUCCCAAAGUCAUGGUUAAGUGGGAAACGAUGUGGGAAGGCCCAGACAGCCAGGAUGUUGGCUUAGAAGCAGCCAUCAUUUAAAGAAAGCGUAAUAGCUCACUGGUCGAGUCGGCCUGCGCGGAAGAUGUAACGGGGCUAAACCAUGCACCGAAGCUGCGGCAGCGACACUAUGUGUUGUUGGGUAGGGGAGCGUUCUGUAAGCCUGUGAAGGUGUACUGUGAGGUAUGCUGGAGGUAUCAGAAGUGCGAAUGCUGACAUAAGUAACGAUAAAGCGGGUGAAAAGCCCGCUCGCCGGAAGACCAAGGGUUCCUGUCCAACGUUAAUCGGGGCAGGGUGAGUCGACCCCUAAGGCGAGGCCGAAAGGCGUAGUCGAUGGGAAACAGGUUAAUAUUCCUGUACUUGGUGUUACUGCGAAGGGGGGACGGAGAAGGCUAUGUUGGCCGGGCGACGGUUGUCCCGGUUUAAGCGUGUAGGCUGGUUUUCCAGGCAAAUCCGGAAAAUCAAGGCUGAGGCGUGAUGACGAGGCACUACGGUGCUGAAGCAACAAAUGCCCUGCUUCCAGGAAAAGCCUCUAAGCAUCAGGUAACAUCAAAUCGUACCCCAAACCGACACAGGUGGUCAGGUAGAGAAUACCAAGGCGCUUGAGAGAACUCGGGUGAAGGAACUAGGCAAAAUGGUGCCGUAACUUCGGGAGAAGGCACGCUGAUAUGUAGGUGAAGUCCCUCGCGGAUGGAGCUGAAAUCAGUCGAAGAUACCAGCUGGCUGCAACUGUUUAUUAAAAACACAGCACUGUGCAAACACGAAAGUGGACGUAUACGGUGUGACGCCUGCCCGGUGCCGGAAGGUUAAUUGAUGGGGUUAGCGCAAGCGAAGCUCUUGAUCGAAGCCCCGGUAAACGGCGGCCGUAACUAUAACGGUCCUAAGGUAGCGAAAUUCCUUGUCGGGUAAGUUCCGACCUGCACGAAUGGCGUAAUGAUGGCCAGGCUGUCUCCACCCGAGACUCAGUGAAAUUGAACUCGCUGUGAAGAUGCAGUGUACCCGCGGCAAGACGGAAAGACCCCGUGAACCUUUACUAUAGCUUGACACUGAACAUUGAGCCUUGAUGUGUAGGAUAGGUGGGAGGCUUUGAAGUGUGGACGCCAGUCUGCAUGGAGCCGACCUUGAAAUACCACCCUUUAAUGUUUGAUGUUCUAACGUUGACCCGUGAUCCGGGUUGCGGACAGUGUCUGGUGGGUAGUUUGACUGGGGCGGUCUCCUCCUAAAGAGUAACGGAGGAGCACGAAGGUUGGCUAAUCCUGGUCGGACAUCAGGAGGUUAGUGCAAUGGCAUAAGCCAGCUUGACUGCGAGCGUGACGGCGCGAGCAGGUGCGAAAGCAGGUCAUAGUGAUCCGGUGGUUCUGAAUGGAAGGGCCAUCGCUCAACGGAUAAAAGGUACUCCGGGGAUAACAGGCUGAUACCGCCCAAGAGUUCAUAUCGACGGCGGUGUUUGGCACCUCGAUGUCGGCUCAUCACAUCCUGGGGCUGAAGUAGGUCCCAAGGGUAUGGCUGUUCGCCAUUUAAAGUGGUACGCGAGCUGGGUUUAGAACGUCGUGAGACAGUUCGGUCCCUAUCUGCCGUGGGCGCUGGAGAACUGAGGGGGGCUGCUCCUAGUACGAGAGGACCGGAGUGGACGCAUCACUGGUGUUCGGGUUGUCAUGCCAAUGGCACUGCCCGGUAGCUAAAUGCGGAAGAGAUAAGUGCUGAAAGCAUCUAAGCACGAAACUUGCCCCGAGAUGAGUUCUCCCUGACCCUUUAAGGGUCCUGAAGGAACGUUGAAGACGACGACGUUGAUAGGCCGGGUGUGUAAGCGCAGCGAUGCGUUGAGCUAACCGGUACUAAUGAACCGUGAGGCUUAACCUU